CUUUGGUUCUAUUUUGUUGGUUUCUAGGACCGAAGUAAUGAUUAAUAGGGACAGUUGGGGGCAUUAGUAUUUAAUUGUCAGAGGUGAAAUUCUUGGAUUUAUUGAAGACUAACUUCUGCGAAAGCAUUUGCCAAGGAUGUUUUCAUUAAUCAAGAACGAAAGUUAGGGGAUCGAAGACGAUCAGAUACCGUCGUAGUCUUAACCAUAAACUAUGCCGACUAGGGAUUGGACGAUGUUACUUUUAUUGCACUCGUUCAGCACCUUAUGAGAAAUCAAAGUUUUUAGGUUCCGGGGGGAGUAUGGUCGCAAGGCUGAAACUUAAAGGAAUUGACGGAAGGGCACCACCAGGAGUGGAGCCUGCGGCUUAAUUUGACUCAACACGG
RNAcentral lists this ribosomal RNA (383 nucleotides) under uncultured fungus. Its description in RNAcentral is "SSU rRNA". It matches the Rfam family "Eukaryotic small subunit ribosomal RNA", at positions 828 to 1208 of the family's 1831-position model. Lineage: Eukaryota; Fungi. The record is from RNAcentral.